UAUAUACUUAUUUAUUAUCUACUGUUCAUAUGGAUCUAUGACUGAAAGCUCCCAAGCUACGCAGCAGUAAAAAAACACGAGGAAACUGGAAUUCUGUCUCACAAUACACACACACACACAAAACAAAAAUGAAGUUAUUAUACAUAAAUUAUGUAGGGGUUUGAAGAACCCCUCACCAUCACCAGGGAGUGUUUGAACAAGUCACCAGAACUAUAGCAAAAGACAAUUUUUUAUUGAUUGUUAAAACAGUUAUUGUUUAGCCCAAGGUCAGAACUGACCAAGCAGAGCAAUGAUCAAAAACAUUCCAUCUGAGACCACCCGGUAUUUUUUUUUUUAUCUAUGUGCACAGAACUCAGGAUCAUACCAUCUAGACCGCUUUUUCUUCAAAGUUGGUAGGAAGUGAUGAGGGAGAUUUGGCUGCUAUUUCCAGCAGGCAGAAAGACCAUGUAAAGGCUCCGUCUUUUGCUUCGAACACCUGUGUUUUAGGUAAGUGGUGAAUAAAUGAACCUUGUAAUACAAUAUUACUAUACAAACACACAAUCAGUGAACUACCAUAUUAUGCACACCCCAUGGACAACAUUACAACACAUAAUUACAGCACAUCACACACACAGUAUAUACAAUGUUAAUACACACAUCCCGUCAGAGCAAACACGUCACAAAUAAUACACUCAUACACAGUGUACCCAGGAUGUAUAUAAUGAUGAUAGUACAAUGUGCACAUAUUUGAUUGUGAAAGUGUGAAUAUUUAUUUCCAGUGAGUGUACAUAACACAACAUAAUACACAAUGCAAAAAUGAGUAAGCAAGUAUUCUCAAACGCAUGAAAAAUAUAUACAUUUAUAUAUACAAUAUAAAUGUGUGUGUGUGUGUGUGUGUGUAUAUAUAUAUAUAUAUAUAUAUAAUAACAAAGGGUAAAAUUAAUUAAUUAAGAAGUAAUAAUUUCACCAAGUAGAAUUCGGCAUGAAAAAAGGACCAUUUCAUGGUAAACUUAAGUAAUCCUUAAUAAUUAGGGUUCAGCAAAGAUUUGCUUUACCACAUACCAAAGUUUAGAAAUAGCAGCCAAAAAGGUUAGCUAUUUCUUCUACUUUAAAAGGGGGAGUCCCUUUUUAAAGUAGAAGAAAUAGCUAACGUUUUUUGGCUGCUAUUUCUAAACUUCGGUAUGUGGUAAAGCAAAUCUUUGCUGAACCCUAAUUAUUAAGUGUGUAUAAGGCGCAUGGCUCAGUGGUUAGAGCGUUGAGCUUACGAUCGUGAGGUUGUGAGCUCGAAUCCCGGACCGGGCUGCGUGUUGUGUUCUCGAGCAAGGCACUUUAUUUCACGUUGCUCCAGUUCACUCAGCUGUAGAAAUGAGUUGCGAUGUCACUGGUGCCAAGCUGUAUCGACCUUUGUCUUUCCCUUGGAUAACACUGGUGGUGUGGAGAGGGGAGGCUGGUAUGCAUGGGCGACUGCUGGCCUUCCAUAAACAACCUUGCCCGGACUUGUAUCUAGGAAGGUAACUUUCUAGGUGCAAUCCCAUGGUCAUUCAUGACCGAAGGGGGUCUUUACCCCUUAUAUAUAUAUAUAUAUAUAUAUAUAUAUAUAUAUAUAUAUAUAUAUACACACACACACACACACAAAGCAGACAUAUAUGUACACACACACAACAAAUAUAUAUAUAUUUAUAUAUACACUCAAACACACAUACACACAAAGCAGAAAGAAUUUUAUUUUAAAAAAUUUGAUUAUAUAUAUUAUUAUUAUUAUCAUCAUUAUUAUUAUUUUUAUUUUUAUUAUCAUCAUUAUCAUCAAGGCGGCAAGCUGGCAGAAUCGUUAGCUUGCUGGGUAAAAUGCUUUGCAGCAUUUCGGCUGUCUUUACAUUCUGAGUUCAAAUUCCACCAAGGUCGACUUUGCCUUUCACCCUUUCGGGGUCGAUAAAUUAAGUACCAGUUGCAUACUAGAGUUGAUCUAAUCAACUGGCCUGCUCCCCACCAAAAAUUUCAGGCCUUCUGCCUAUAGUAGAAAAGAUUAUUAUUAUUAUCAUCAUCAUCAUCAAGGUAGCAAGCUGGCAGAAUUGUUAGCAUGCUAGGCAAAAUGGUUUGCAACAUUUUGUCUGCCACUACGUUCUGAGUUCAAAUUCCACCAAGGUUGACUUUGCCUUUCAUCCUUUCAGGGUUGAUAAAUUAAGUACCAGUUGAAUACUAGAGUCAGUGUCAUCGACAUAUCCCUUCCCUAGAAUUUCAGGCCCUGUGCCUUUAGUAGAAAGGAUUAUUAUUAUUACUAUUAUUCAGUAGUGGUAGUAGUAGUUAGCAGAAGCAACAGAGAGACUUAAGAACCGAGAGUAUUAUGCAUCAGCACUUAUCAAACUAUAUAUAUAUAUAAUUAAAUGCUUCUGUGAGGAGAUGCUGAAAAAUUCCUGGCUUUAAGAGUAUCACAAAAGGCCUGGUUGGAGGCCUAACUUUCCAAGUUCUUUCAGAGGUCUUAGAAAAAAAAUGACAGACUGCCGCAAUAAGCGUGUGAAUCUGAGAAAGGAGCAUGUUCAUAAAAUCAUAAUUAACUGAUGUUCCUGUAUUUUCUUUUACCCAAAGCCAGGAACUUUUCAGCCCCAACUCCCGUCCUUGUAUCUUGUUAAUUAUUAAUUUUUCAGAGAAAAAUAAAUGCGAUAUUCAUCAAUAUCAUACAAGACUAUAUCUGUGUGGAAAAUUAGAAAACAAUUCAUUGAAAAAUCCUUAAAUGACUGGAAGAAAAUGAAAAAAAUUAUAUUUAUAUAUGUAUAUAUAUGUAUGUAUGUAUGUAUGUAUGUAUGUAUGUAUGGUGCGUGACUUCUGGGACAUCCCAUAUAUAUAUAUAUAUAUAUAUAUAUAUAUAUAUAUAUGGGAUGUCCCAGAAGUCACACACCAUUCCGGUUUCCAUUAAAGAUAAUUGACGCAAUGUAUUUUAUUUCCAUAUUUGAAGCAUGUUUUAUUGCAGAGGGUGCUCAAUUUGAGCAUUUGUUAGGAUUAUUUUCAAUAAAGUGUUUUUGAAAUCAAUAAAGGAGUAUUUUUAAAAAACCCAGGAAGGUGUGUGACUUCUAGAACACCCCGUGUGUGUGUAUAUAUACAUAUAUAUAUAUAUAUAUAUGUAUAAAUUAUAUUUAUAUAUAUAUAAAUUAUAUUUAAAUAUAUAUAAUUGCAGAAGGCCAGAAAUUCAAGGGUGGUGUAGGUUGAUUAAACUGACUCCAGAAUUUGACUGGAACCUUAUUUUAUCAAAACCAAAAGGAUUAAAAACAAAUUUGAUUUCAGCAGGAUUUGAACUAACAACAUAACAGCACAAAUACAACACCAACAAUUCUGUCAAUCCAUCACCCUUAUAAUAAUUAGAAAAUUAUUAAUAGUAAUAGUAAUAAUAAUAAUAAUGGUUCCAAAUUUUGGAACAAGGUCACCAAAAGGAAGAAAGGAAAAGUUGACCCUGGUCAACUUUCCCCUUCUUUUGAAAUCAGAAUACAAGGAUGAAAUGCCACUAAGCAUUUUGCCCAGCAUGCUUCUGCUAGCUCAUCACCUAAUUUAAUAAUAAUUUAUUCUUUUAUUGACCACAAGGGCUAAUAUAUACAAACAUAAAAGGACAUACAAUAACAUUGAAAGAUAAAAAAAAAUAGACGAUACAAUGGGUUUUCCUUGUAUAAACAAUACAAAACAAUAAAAGAUUAAACAAAUUAAAACUCCCAAUAGGGGAGGUGCUUUAAAGGUCCUCAUGGAAAAAUCCACAAAAGCCAUGGGUGCCUGAUCAAUAGGGCAAUAGCCCUUUUAUUUUUACAGGUGUAUAUACAGAAUUGGUUCUUUCACACUGACCAUUCUUCCAACAUUCACCCAGGCACAAGGCCUGAAAUUUUAGGGUGGGGACUAAUCAAUUACAUCAACCCCAGUGCUCAACAACAACAACAAUAAUAAUAAUGUUGGUUAUUAUUUGUCAUUUUUGCUAUUUCUCCUUUAUGUAAUUCAAAUUUUAUUGCAUCAAUAUAUUUUCUAUAUUAACUCUAUACAUAUUUUGGCAGUGACACAUAGUAAGAGUUCUCAUCGAAAGAAAGAACUCUUAAUUAACAGACAUGAUAAGUGAGAAGAAAUUUGGUGACUCUCACUCAGACUGUGCACACAAGCCAUCAGCCCUUCAUCUUAUCUCCCACAUGGCUCCGCCUCUGGCUUCAGUUAAAACAGAUUAAAGAUCAAGAUUGAUAAUAUAUAGUUUUACCAGAUAGGUUUUUGUUGCUGUUUAAUACCAGGUCAGCCCUGAAUGAACAAGCCAAUGAUCAAAGGCAUUCCAACCAUGAACAUUCAGUUCAUCCAACUUCCAGUCACUAUAUCUAGGGCUACAUUAAUCAAUGUGUCCUUUUUUUUUUUUUUUUAUGAUGGUAGUAUGUGAUUUAUGGGAGAUGUAACUGCUAGUUUUAGCAGGUCAAGCAACCACAUCUGGAUUCGACAUUAGCAUUUUUUACUGUUUUUUAUAUCUAUUUUCUUUGCUUGUGCUGUUUAUGGAUGCAGAGUGGUUGAAUGCUUAAGAGGUUUGUUGCAUGGUGUCUUGGGAAAAUAAUUUCUAUCAUAUUCUUGGAUCAACCCCUGCUAAUUUUGCAGGUCAAAUUGAGUAGACAGAAACUGCAUGAAAAAUUCAUCACCAUCAUCAUCAUUUCAAUGUCCACUUUUCCAACAAUAAUUUGGACCUUUCAUUUCUCCUGUGGUCAAAGAUUAACCUGUUCCUGAAAGAAAUGUUAAGGCUAACACAACAUUUACCAAGUUAUCUAUUAGCUAUUCCAUACACUAAUAUGAAAUGAGAGAGGAGGUGCAAUGGCCCAGUGGUUAGAGAAGCAGACUCGCGGUUGUAGGAUUGCGGUUUCAAUUCCCAGGCCGGGCAUUGUAAGUGGUUAUUGAGCAAAAACAUCUAAAGUUCCACAAGGCUCCAGCAAGGAGGGGGAGGGGUCGAACCCUGCUGUACUCUUUCACCACAACUUUCUCUCACUCUUUCUUCCUGUUCCUGGGCCAGCGUUUUCACACUUUGUCACGCUGACUCUCCCUGAGAACUACGUUAAGGGUACAUGUGUCUGUGGAGUGCUCAGCCACUUGCACAUUAAUUUCACAAGCAGGCUGUUCCGUUGAUCGUAUCAACUGGAACCCACAUCGUCGCAACCGACAGAGUGCCACGAUUAAAUGAGAAAUAUGGAAUGAAAUAUUUCCAUCCAAGCAGACUCAACAAUACUUUUACUACAGUUAUCAACCUAAAACUUAGGAGAUAGCAGACGUGUACACACACACACACCUAUAUAUUUCCAUUUGGCUAUUCCCCCGUCUAUCAUGCAUUAAAUGUUAUCAAUAUGUCUUUGAGACAAAUUGGACGAAGACAGAAAUACAGAUAGGAAGGUGUGAGAAAGACAGAUGCAGAAAGAAUGAUGAGAGAGAGAGAAAGAGAUACAAAGAGAAGGAUGAGAAAUUACGUAAAAGCUGAUUUAUAUAAAUAUAUAUAUAUAUAUAUACGAGAGAAAGAAAGACUAACAGACAGACAGAGGGAGAGACAGAGACAGAGAAGUAAAGGCUUCAAACAAUGAAUAAAAGAGAGAAAUAACAUUUUGGAACAAUAAAUUUGUAACCAAGUGAAACAUUAAAAUAAAACGGUAAAAAGCAAAAUACAACAUGGAAAAAAGAAGUACUCAAAUUUUUCAUUUUAAUAAAAUAUCUGUGAAAUUGCAAAGCAAUUUGAUGAAAAGGAUUUUCAGUGACUUCCCUUCAGCAACAAGCUUAGGAGACAUAAUUAUGAGUGUGAGCAGGUGUGUGUGUGUGUGUAAUCACAUCAUACACACAUUUCUAUAUGCAUAUAUACAUGCACAUUUAUAUACACACAUACACAUAUAUAUAUACACACACAAUACCCACACACACACACACACUCACAUACAUGCAGACAAUACCCACACCCACACAUGUAUUUAGCCUUCAAAUCAAUUUCAAAAUUGAAACGUUUGAGAAUAUGAUAGAAUAAAAACAAUUUUUUAAAAUAUGUUUUGACAAAAAGUUGUCCUUGGAUGUUAAAAGAUGAUUGAUAUUGACAAAAUAUAUUUAAAAGAAUUAAAAGAACCUAGGUACAGCAACAACAACAACAACAAUAAACAUUUCUAGUACAGACACAAGACCUCAAAUAUUUUGGGGAAGGAAUGCAUGUGAUUUAAUCAACCAAUCACUAGACACAUGGAAGUUGACCUUGAUGAGAUCUGAACUCGGUUUUCAUGGUGUACAAGUGAUUGAGAUUACAAAAUUCCUGCUGAUUGGGACGCCAUCCCGCAACCAUCACAGAAUUGCUUGUUUACAGUUCAGCAGAUGGGAGCAACAUGAAAUGAAGUGUUUUGCCCAAGAACACAAUACAUCAUCCAGUCUAGGAAUUGAAACAAUGAUCUUGAGACUGCGAGUGCAACAUCCUAACCAACAAACCAUGUAACAUUACUCUCUGAGACAAAGGAAUGUAUAAAUAUUGUUAAGGCGCAGGAGUGGCUGUGUGGUAAGAAGCUUGCUAACUAACCACAUGGUUCCGGGUUCAGUCCCACUGUGUGGCAUCUUGGGCAAGUGUCUUCUGCUAUAGCCCCGGGCCGACCAAUGCCUUGUGAGUGGAUUUGGUAGACGGAAACUGAAAGAAGCCUGUCGUAUAUAUGUAUAUAUAUAUAUGUGUGUGUGUUUGUGUGUUUGUGUGUCUGUCCCCCUAGCAUUGCUUGACAACCGAUGCUGGUGUGUUUACGUCCCCGUCACUUAGCGGUUCGGCAAAAUAGACCGAUAGAAUAAGUACUGGGCUUACAAAGAAUAAGUCCGGGGGUCGAUUUGCUCGACUAAAGGUGGUGCUCCAGCAUGGCCGCAAUCAAAUGACUGAAACAAGUAAAUGAGUAAAAGAGCAUUAAUUUGUUGACAUUAGACAUUUUUAUGUUUUCCAAUAUGCACUUCUUUCUGAGGCAAGACAACUCUUGCUAUAUUUCUCAUACCAUGAAUCAUAAAUGGUUAAUAAUUUGUUUCUGAAAAAAGCCUAUGGCCUGAAAUUUGGAAGGAGGGAUAGUAAUGGACAGUAGCAUAAUUGGGGGGAGGGGGCAAGGAAAGAGGAGGCAGUCUGUCCUGGGAAGCACUUUUACGAAGAUAGCAUAGUUGGGUCUGCUGGGUAACUUUGUAUAGGCUAGGAGGCUGGGACAGGAGUGGGGAAAACUCAAGGACCGCUCCUGGUGGCAUGCAGUCUAGCUACACCACUGGUGUCUGAUUGGUACUUUGCCUGUCAUCCUUCCAGAGAUGAUAAAAUGUCGAACUUGAUGGGAUUUGAACUUAGAAUGUAAUGCAAAAAGCCAUAAUCUCUCCUACAUUUUUCUUCAGCCGAGUGAUCCUAAUCUUGUGGACUAGUGGGUACUGGUACCACAUAAAAAGCACCUGUAAAAGCACCCACUGCAGCACCACAUAAAAGAACCUGCUACACUCUGUAAAGUGGUUGGUGUUAGGCAGAGUAUCCAGUUGUAGAAACCAUGCCAAAAGAGACAUGGAGCUUGGUGCAGCUCUCCAGCCAGCUCCUAUCAAACUGUCCAACCCAUGCCAGCAAGGGAAACAGACGUUAAAUGAUAAUUACACCAACCCUAGUAAUAAAGCUAAAGAUUUCUGAUUUAGGCAGUCAUUUUGAGAAGUAGUGAACAGGGUUGGGGGGGGGGGAGAUCAAAUAUAUUGGCCCAAAUAAUUAACUGGUACUUUUAUUUUAUUGACCUCAGAAGGAUGAAAAGCAAACUUGGUGGGAUAUGAACUUAGAAUAUAAAGAACAGGAAGUCAUUCUGCAAAGCAUUUUGUCUGAUGUUCUAAUGAUUCUACUAAUCCAACAUCCUAAUAAUAAUAAUAAUAAUACUAAUCCUUUCUACUUAAAGGCACAAGGCCUGAAAUUUUGGGAUGGUGGCUAGUCAAUUAAAUUAAUCCCAGUGCUCAACUGGUACUUAUUUCAUCAACCUCUAAAAGGUGAAAGGCAAAGUCAACCUUGGUGGAUUUGGAACUCACAAUGUAGUGACAGACGAAAUACUACUAAGCAUUUCAUUUAGUGUGCUAAUGACUGCUAGCUUGCCACCUAAUAAUAAUAAUAAUAAUAAUAAUAAUAAUAAUAAUCCUUUCUACUAAAGGGGGAGGGUUAGGGUUAGUAUUCAACUGGUGUUUAUUUUAUUGAUACCAUAAGGAUGAAAGGGGCAAGUGAACCUUGGUAGAAUUUGAACUCAGAACAUAGCAACUGGUGAAAUACCGCUAAGCAUUUCAUUCAGCGUGCUAACGAUUCUGCCAGCUCACCAUCCUUUCUUCUACAGGCACAAGGCCUGCAAUUUUGGUGGGAGGGAGCUAGUUGAUUACAUCAAGCUCAGAGCUUGACUGGUGCUUGUUUUAUCAACCCUGAAAGGCAAAGUCAAUCUUGGCAGAAUCUGAACUCAGAACAUAAAGACAGAUGAAAUGCCACUAAGCAUUUUGCGCGGCAAGCCAACAAUUCUGCCAGGUCACCACCUUACCAACACCCUAAUGAUAAUAAUAAUAAUUAUUAUUACUUCUUAUUUUGAACUUGACAAAACAGUCGUACUAUUGAAAUAUUGUUCAACUAAUAAAAUAUCUUACAAUCGAAUCGCGCUCUUCAUCUUGACUGUUUACCUUUGUGAAGAGUUACAUCAAUCCUUUUUUAAAAUAUAAUAAUAAUAAUAAUAAUCCUUUCUAAUAUAGGCACUAGCUAGGGCACAACCAAGUAACUUGCAAUACAAAACCCCUCAACUGAGUGGAGGUGGAUCUGUGCUAGGUGUUGAGAGGCUAAGGUAUGAUGGGGGACAGGAGAAGGUGUCUUGUUGUAGAGAUACAUGGCUACACCAACUGGAAAGAGUGGAAAAAAGAAAAAAAAGGGAUGGUGGAGAUGAUGUUUGAGAACAUACCCUCAAAGUACAAGAAGGUGGAUAUAAGAAAGAAUAGGGACUAACGAUGGAGGAUGGAUUGAUGGGUAAUGCAUCAGGUGAAAUCUAAUGAUUUCCCACCUAAAAUUUGUUACAUGUAACAACAAAUUUAUUAUACAUGCACAUACAUAUAUACACAAAUACAUACACACACACACACACACACACACACAAAUGUACACACACACACAUUAUCAUCACUUAAUGCUGGUCUUUCAUGCUGACAUGGGUUGGACAGUUCGAUAAAAUCUGGCAAAUGAGAGGACUGCAUUGUGCUGCAGUGUCUGCUUUGGCGUGGUUUUUAUGGCCAGAUGCCCUUCCAAAUACCAGCCUUUUCCACAGAGUGUACCAAGUGCUUUUGCCAUGGCACCAGCGCUAGUGAAGAUUGCCUUAUAACUUUCAAGACUAAGGACCUAAAGUGGUCCCUAAUACUGAGGAAGGAUAGAAGAGAGAGGGUGUGAUGAUUCUAGGCAGGAUGGAGAGGAAGGUUAAGAUGAAAGGAAAAGAUUCAUAGUUGUGAUAGGGUCAUAGUGGAGACAGCAACAGAGUAGACAUUAUUUGGGGUAGGAAGAAUUGCAGGAACAAGGGAAAAAGAAAGAAUAUAUAUAUAUAUAUACACAUACAUAUAAGUUCAGACAUGGCUGUGUGACAACAAGUUUCUUUCCAACCAAAAGGUUUCAGGUUCAGUCCCACUGCAUGGCACCUUGGGCUAGUGUCUUCUACUAUAGCCAUGGGCUGACCAAACCUUUGUGAGUGGAUUUGGUAGACAGAAACUGAAAGAAGCCCAUUGUGUGUGUGUGUGUUUGUACCCCACCCCUAUCACUCGACAACUGGUGUUGGUGUGUAAGUCCCUAUAACUUAGCAGUUCAGCAACAGUGACUGAUAGAAUAAGUGGCAGGUGUAACAAAAUAAGUAUAGGAGUCAAGUUGUUCGACAAAAAUUCUUCAAGGAGGUGCCCUAGAAUGGUCUCAGUCUAAAACUGGAAAAGAAGUGUGUGUGUGUGUAUAUAUAUAUAUAUAUUCAUACACACAUAUAUAUUCAAACAUAUGCAUAUACAUACAUACAUACACUAACACAUAUACACAGUCACACACACAUGCAUAUGCACAGACACACAUUUCCUCACACUUGUGCAAACAAAUGCACUCACACACAUAUACACACACACAAACCCCCAACCCAUAAUUAUAGUUAACAACAUUUCAUGGAAAAGAUAAGUCUUUGAAUGUUCACUUGAACUAGAUAACCAAAAGUCAUUUCAUUGGAAUAAAAAGAUUUCAUUUCAUUAUGAUUGCUUCAUUAUACACAAGUAGUAACGGUUCAGUAAACAUGAUAAAAUAGUGAUUUAGUAGAUAUGGUGAAAUGCCUGGCUUAUAUAUAUUUUUAUGGCUAGUUUAGUAUCUCAGGUUUCUGUGCUCAAAUUCCCUUUGGGGAUGAUUUUUGCCUUUCAUCUCUCCAGGGUCUUUAAAUAAGUAUUCAAAAUAAUGCACUGAUGGGUUGAUUCAGAUGAAUAAAGAAAUUGCUACAAGGAUUUCUUGUUGCUGUUGAAUAAAAAGAAAGAAAACAAUAAAUGAAAUAUAUAUGUAUAAAAAAAGCAUUGAAUUGUGCAACUUUCUGCUGUCUUCCAUUAAACUAGUCUCUAGAGGGUUGCAUAGAAACUAUAUUACAAUAAACUUCCAUGAAUUCAAUCCCAGUACAAAGUGUGUGUGUGUGUGUGUGUAGGUGCAGUCAUGGCUGUGAGGUUAAGAAGCUCAUUCCUUUCAAGGAAUUGCCCAAGCAUGGCCACAGUCCAUUGACUGAAAUAUACACACACGGGGGAGAGGGAGAGAAAAAGUUACGAAAUUUUCUGCACAAUCAUCAGGUCCUAGGUUUGAUUCCUUCAACAUAACCUCAGAUUUGUUUAGCCUGUGUCCGUCCUGAUCUAGCAAACCAAAAGUCAAAGACGUUCUAUUGUGACUUUUAGGAUACCUAAUACUACAAUGUCCAAUGUAUGAUUUUUUUUUUUAAGGCAGACUGUAUGAUGCAUGUGUACGAACAGCCAUGCUACAUGGCAGUGAAACAUGGGCCGUGACUGCUGAGGACAUGCGUAAGCUCGUGAGAAAUGAAGCUAGUAUGCUCCGUUGGAUGUGUAAUGUCAGUGUUCAUAGUCGACAGAGUGUAAGUACCUUGAGAGAAAAGUUGGACCUAAGAGGAAUCAGAUGUUGUGUGCAAGAGAGACGAUUGCGCUGGUAUGGUCAUGUGGUGAGAAUGGAUGAAGAUAGGUGUGUGAAAAAGUGCCACACCCUGGCAGUUGAGGGGACCUGUGGAAGAGGUAGACCCAGGAAAACCUGGGUCGAGGUGGUGAAGCACGACCUUCGAACUCUAGGUCUCACCAAGGAAAUGACCAGAGACCGAGACCUAUGGAAGUAUGCUGUGCGUGAGAAGACCCGGCAAGACCAGUGAGAACAAUCAAAAUCAAAUCAUAUAUCAGAAAGCAGGGGUUAAGUGUCCGCUGUCAGCCUCGUCUGGCACCCGUGCCGGUGAUACGUAAAAGCACCAUUCGCUCAUGGCCGUUUGCCAGCUCUGCCUGGCCCCGUGUCGGUGGCACGUAAAAGCGCCAUCCGUUCGUGUUCGUUUCCAGCCUCGCCUGGCCCCGUGCCGGUGACACGUAAAAGCACCGUCCGUUCGUGGCCGUUUGCCAGCUCUGUCUGGCAACCGUGUCGGUGGCACGUAAAAGCACCAUCCGUUCGCAUCCGUUGCCAGCCUCGGCUGGCCCCCGUGCCGGUGACACGUAAAAGCACCGUCCGUUCGUGGCCGGUUGCCAGCUCUGUCUGGCCCCGUGUCGGUGGCACGUAAAAGCACCAUUCGUUCAUGCCCGUUGCCAGCAUCGCCUGGCCCCGUGCCGGUGACACGUAAAAGCACCAUCCGUUCGUGGCCGUUCGCCAGCUCUGUCUGGCACCUGUGCAGGUGGCACGUAAAAAACACCCACUACACUCGCGGAGUGGUUGGCGUUAGGAAGGGCAUCCAGCCGUAGAAACACUGCCAGAUCUGACUGGGCCUGACGAAGCCUUCCAGCUUCACAGGCCCCAGUUGACCCGUCCAACCCAUGCUAGCAUGGAAAACGGACGCUAAACGAUGAUGAUGAUGAUGAUGAUGGGUUGUGACUUGAGAGAUACUUGACUGCUGUUUCUAGCAAGUUGAGUGACCACUUAUAGCUUCCCUUGUUAGAGUACUGGAUUUUGUGACACAGUUUGCAAGUUCGAAUUAACUGCAGAAGGCAUUUUUAUGUGCAGAGUACUUCAUCUUACAUUGCACAGUAGUUGUAAAUGAAUGCCACAAUCAUGCAAUUGGUGUUCAUUUCCAAUCUUCUCUAGGGACAUGUCCAGCCAUGGAGAAAAGUAUCCAGCUUGGAAAGGAGUGAGUGUUGGCAACAGGAAAGGUAUCCAGCUGUAAAAAAUCUGCUCCAUCAUAUUUCAUCUGACCCAUGCAAGCAUGGGAAGGUGGACGUUAAAAAAGAAAAAAAAUGAUGGGAGACAACAACAUUGAAAAAUGACGAUAAUGAUGAAAAAUGACAUGGAAAAAUGGCAAUGGAAAGCUAUGAUGUUGAAAACUAACAACGAUGAGGAAAAACAAUGAAAAGCUAACUAUGAUGAAAACCGAUGAUGAUGAUGAUGAAAAAUGGCAAUGAUGAAAGAGGACAACAAUGAGGGAAAAUGACAAUGAUGAAAAGUGAUGAUGAUACUGAGUGUGCAAAAUAUGAAAGCUAGAUAUAAUGUGAUGAUGUAUUAGUAUCAGAUCCUGAACAAUGAACCAUUGAUUUCAAUCUCAUGAUGACUCUCAUCUAUUUCUUCAGCAUCACGCAUAAUUUCAAUUUCAGUAAUUGUUUACUAUGUUGAAGAAAAUAUCUCAAAGCUUUUAAAUUAAACCAUGACAACUCGAUGAAUGCUAAAAAGAUGCUGAUAAAAAUCUCUACAGUCUCUGAAUUUCAUGUGAAUGAAAUUUUGUAUAAAAUUAACAGUCAACAAAUCUAAUAGCCAGACAGUAUUGGCAAUUGUUCAAGACAUUUAUAAAUCUAUAUAUUUCUGCACUUUCUACUACUUACAUAGUUCUAAUGGAGAAAUCCUAAAUGUCGGCAACAUCUGAAAGAAAACCACCUGCUCAUGUCAUUUGCUACUCUCAAAAAUCAAAUCAACAACAAUUGUAUAUGUAUAUAUAUAAAGAAAAUCUUUUAAAGAGAGUUAAAUAUUUGACUUGUUCCUGUAGAGGAACAAAGAGAAAAUUUAACACUUCAGAUGUAAUUUAUAACACAAUAACACACUGCAUUAAACCUUUUUAACACCAAUCCAUUUGAGAUGCUCUGAAUUAAAGUGUUCAUACUUUAAUUAAAUUAUUGGUUAAUGUUUUAUAACAUAAAUGAUGAGAUGAAAUUCCAGCUAUUCAGAAGUAGAAUAGCACCAGUUUAAUGUCAGUUUCUUCAUGCUCGCAUGGAUCAAAUGAAAUCUGUUGAUGCAGGUUUUCUAUGGUUGGAUGCUCUCCCAGGUGCUAACAUUUAUUUGUCUCCAAGUAAAGGAAUAUUUUCUCAGAGUCUUUUCAACACAAGUAGCACAAUGUCAGAUACAAUUUUUCAUGGAAGAUUGCAAACAAACGACAUUGCUUGUAUGAUGGUGACAUUUAUCUACAGUUAGCAUGGAAUGUCAAGACAAGGAGACAUGAGCAUCUGCGCGCACACACACACACAUUUUAGAUUUCUUUCAGUUUCUUAUUUCUUUAUUGCCCACAAGGGGCUAAACAUAGAGGGGACAAACAAGGACAGACAAAGGGAUUAAGUCGAUUACAUUGACCCCAGUGCGUAACUAGUACUUAUUUAAUCGACCCCGAAAGGAUGAAAGGCUAAGUCGACCUCGGCAGAAUUUGAACUCAGAAUGUAGCAGCAGACGAAAUACCACCAAGCAUUUCGUCCAGCAUGCUAACGUUUCUGCCAGCUUGCCACUUUUCUUUCAGUGUCUGUCAACCAACUGCACUCAUAAGACUUUGGUCAGCCCAGGGUUACAGUAGAUGUCAUUUGCCUGAGGUGCCAUGCGGUGGGACUGAACUUGAAAGCACAUGAUGCUGAAGUUAACUUCUUAAUCACACAGUCAUAUACCACAGAAAUGUAAAAAAAUAAGGCUGGAAUGUCUAGUGGUGGUUGGUAUCAGCCAGAUUAUACAGAGAAGUUUCUAAGUUCAGAUAACUUUGUGAGGAGAAGAGUAAUCUGACAUGAUUCUUUUGACUGAUUUGAAAGAAAAGAGAUUUUCCAAUCUCCAGCAUACAAACUUAUAGAGUCUUAUUUGUUAUAGUCAUGUUUUGGUUGUUAUAUCCUCUAGCCUUCUUCAUAUGCUUGUUUUAUUUGGUAGCAUUCUUGGAAUUUUAAACCAAAUCUUUUAUUAAAUUCAUGGCAGCAGAUUGCUCUCAUUCUGUUGUCUAUAUAUCAGAUACCUUGUUAGUUAUUCUAGUUGUGAUGUAGUUUGUUCAUUCCACUGAUCGUAUGUGUGGGGGGAGGGGUGUAUUUCAAUUGAUCAAAAUAUAAACUCUGUAAUGUCCAUUUUGCCCUGAAGAUCUUACACCCAGGCUAUUCAAAAUGCAAAAUUAUAUCAUUACAUAAUUGUAAUUUAAAUUGUAAUUUAAACUGGGUACAAAGUGAAACGAUUGUAGGCAAUGUAAAAUAAUUAAUAAAUUAAUUUAUAACCAUUGAAUCUCUCCAUUUUCAAACUAAUUAAUAAUAUUUGAUGUUUUUUAUAUAUAUAUAUAUAUAUAUAUAUAUAUAUAUAUAUAUAUAUAUAUAUAUCACUAUACUGGCAAGACUAUCAGAAGUUUUUAUAUAGAAGUCCCAGAAAUCUCAUGGGCUGACAGACCAGAAAUCUCGUGGGCAGAAGGCCCAGAAAUCUCAUGGGUAGACAGCCCAGAAAUCUUGUGGGUAGAAAGCUCAGAAAGCUCAUGAAUAAAAUGAGCUGUAUAGGUCACAUACCCUUCCUCCUGAAACCAUAAGAAAGUUUCUUUUUUUUAUUUCAGUUAUAGCUUUUCACUUUAAUAAUAUAAUUUCUUUUUAUUUUCAAGAAAAGUAUCAAUGUUACACAUACAUUUUAUUUAUGAAUCUGUAAAUUUAUGACUUUGAACCAUUUAAAAGUCAAAAUUGAUUAUUUAUAACACUUAGUUGUAAAGGAAAAUAAAUCAAAAAGAAAUCUGAGUAAUAAAGAUUUCUAAAAGUCUUCUCAAGUAGAGUGUGACCAAAGAUUUUAUUAUCUUCCCUCCCAGUUGAUAUCUUUAUUUAUUUAAUUUUACUUGUAGUACAUUCAUAAAUAUAUAAAUAAAUAAAGGAUGGUGGUGGGGGAAAUAGGAAUGAACACAUAAAUUCAAAUAAUAUUAUGAUACAAUAUUUUAAAGUAUCAUUAAAUCCACAAAAUUUAUUUUCACCACAGAAGAAGGAUAAUUAAGAAAAACCAGUUCUAAUAGGUUAGGGACAUUGAUGUUUUAAAUAUGUAGAGCAUCUAAGUAACCCUUUUGAUACCAACCUACCUGAGACUGACUUUGCUUCUGUGAUACAAACUUCAUGUUUUAAAGAGAUCUAAAUGAAAAGCAUCUAUCAAGGUUUUAUGUUAAUUUAUGUUCUGAACAUCAGCUUAUUUAACGCCAAAGUAAUUAUGAUUAACUCUUUAUUAUUCUUUGUAAGCCUAGUACUUAUUCUAUCGGUCUCUUUUGCCGAACCACUAAGUUACGGGGACGUAAACACACCAGCAUCGGUUGUCAAGCGAUGUUGGGGGACAGACACACAAAUACACACACAUAUAUACACAUAUAUACGACAGGCUUCUUUCAGUUGCCAUCUACCAAAUCCACUAACAAGGCUUUGGUUGGCCCGAAGCUAUAGUAGAAGACACUUGCCCAAGGUGCCAUGCAGUGGGACAGAACCCGGAACCAUGUGGUUGGUAAGCAAGCUACUUACCACACAGCCACUCCUGCACCUAUGUUGUUAAUAAUAAUGACAAUAAUACUAACUUCUUGACCCAUUAGCAUUUGAACUAGCCAUAUACAGCCCAAAAUGUUCUACAUGUUUUAUGUUCAAACUGACCAGAUCAGGCCUCUCACACCUACCCAACAAUGCCAUUCAAAUCAUAAACAAUCACAUCAUCAAAAUCUCAAAAUAUGAGAUAAUGCAGGAUUAAUUUAAAACAAUAAGAAUGUGUAAUACAUUUGACAGAAUCAUCUGAACGCUUCAGGGUUAAACUGAUACUUUGUUAAAGGAAGACAUAAAAAGACAACUGAACCAAGUCAAAUGCAAAACAGGUAUUAUAUUUUUGCAUUUAGUCAGAAGGUUGUACUCACAACCUUUGCAAGCCUCCAAGAUUUGAAAACAAGCAACAGUGCCUAAAAAUACCAGUCUACAACAGAACCAUUCAAACUACUUUCAAUUAAAUAUUUCCUUAUAUAUUCACACUUUUUUUUACACACUUCCUGCCUCUUACUUUAGGCGGGGCAGCAGCUGUGGGCUUGAAAGAAGGUAAAUAUUGAUUCGACUUCCACAAAGAGACACAGCGCUUUAUAUUUAUGAGGAAGUGUAAAUAUAGACGGAGGAAUAUAAACAGAAGAAGACAAACAGAACUUGAGAUUGAAACCUGGUUGCUCAGUCAACUAGCAUGCCUGGAAAUAAACUCUACCAGGUGUGGCAGGUUGUGGUAUAAAGUGAGGUUGAUAAUUCAGAAGAACAGAAGCAUUUGAUUUAAAUAUAGUAUCAUACUAUACAAACAUAGCACACAUUAUUUUUACCUCAUUAUAAAUCAUUAUACAAGCUUAAAAACAUGUUUCAGUAAGCUUGGUAUGCAACUAGGUGGAAUCAAAUGUUUCGAUUGGUUCAAAUUGCAUCCUUUGAAUAGCUUCUUGCAUUUAAAAUGAUUGAUUCUGAUUGGAUGCAGCUGUGUGGUUAACCCUUUUGUUACCAUAUUUCUGUUGAAAUGCUCUGUGUUUCUUUCAAUUAAUUUUAAAUAUAACAAAGAAUUUAGUAAAAUAACUUAGUUAUCAUUAAGCUAGUGUUAGGAAUACAAAUUGUGACAAAGGUUUGGUGGAAGAUUUUAAUUCAGAACUUUUAAAAACAAGGCAUUUGUACUACAGAGUCAGUGGCAGUUUCAGGUGGGUUAUUAUCAAAAGGGUUAAGUAGUUUUCUUCCCAAUUAUGUGGUUUUGGGUUCAGUCCCACUGUGUGACAUCUAGGGCAAGUGUCUUCUUUAUAGCCCAGAGCCAACCAAAGUCUUGUGAGUGGAUUUGGUAGAUGGAAAUUGAAAGAAGCCUGUCAUACACAUAUUCACAAUAUGUAUGUGUAUAUAUAUAUAUAUAUAUAUAUAUAUUAAAAACAAGGAUAAGAUCUAUAUAAGAAUUUAUCAAGUAGCCAGCAUGAAAAACCAGUAAAGGGAAAAAAAUUAUACAAAAAAUAUAUAAUUAUUCCCUUUAAAUAUAAAUACAUUCAUUAUAUUAAGGGUUAUUACUGAAUGUGUGUGUGUGUGAGUACAUAAUGUGAGGUUUUGUGUGUGUAGGUGUGUAGGUGCAUGUAUGGUAGCUAAGGAGUGAAAUUGUUGGAUUGCUGACCCAAAAGUCGUGAGCUGUUGCAUUGCUAUUAAACACUGCUUGGUAUAAAGUUGGCCCAGUGCCUCAUCCAAACAGACAUUAGUAGCUAGGUUGAAGAGUCAAGGAUUUCAGUGACUACAUUACUUUGGCAACCUUCAAACAAGCAAAUAGGGAGAGUAACUUGAACUUUACCUCGUGUAAAAAUGAAUUCUCUCCACUAGACUUAAUGUCCAUCAUGAUCAUCAUUAUUAUCAUAAAAAACAUUAUUAUUAUUAAAAAUUAACUCGUUAAAGGUGGUGAGGGUCAAAGUCACUUGUUAAUCACAUCAGGAACAAUUUAAGUAUCGGUCAUCAAAUACUGGGGUUAAUUAAACCAACUACAUCCUUUUCCAAAAUGUGACCCUGAGCCAAUGUCAUAAGUUAUCGGAUGGGGUCAAAGUUAGCUGUUCAUCAUUCAGGGGUCAAAUAACUAAAUAUCAAUUGCGUACUGAAGUACAUUAAAAUCACAUACAACCUUCCACAAAAUGGCCUUGUGCCAAUCUCAGAAAUUAAAAGUUAUAGGAAAAUAUAAACAAUUUGGGUGUUUUAUGCCCACUUCUUUCUUUCUUUUACAAGGGCUUAAAUAAAGGGCUACUCAAAAAGCUAAGUUCAGUAUCCUUAAUGCGAAGAAUUCUCUAGCUAUGACAAUCAGCCAAUGAAUCUGUGAGCUUAUUUCAUAUGAUAAAUCUUCAGAUUUUGCUUCAGAAUGAAUAUUGCUCUAGCAGUGCAUCAACAGGAUGUUUAUCAUUGACAAACUGGCUUUGGGAACAUGUCAAAAUCAAUGCAUGUAUAUCUAUUUCUUUAUUGCCCUCAGGGGGCUAAACAUAGAGGGGACAAACAAAGACAGAGAAAGGGAUUAAGUCAAUUACAUUGACCCCAGUGCGUAAACUGGUACUUAUUUAAUUGAUCCUGAAAGGAUGAAUGGCAAAGUCGACCUUGGUGGAAUUUGAACUCAGAACAUAACGGCAGACAAACUACCGCUAAGCAUUUCACCCGGCAUGCUAACGUUUCAGCCAGCUCACCGCCCUAAUACAUACAUAUAUAUCAUCAUCAUCGUUGUUUAACAUUCUUUUUCCAUGUUGGCAUGGGUUGGAUGGUUUUGACAGGAGCUGAAGAGACAGAAAGACUGCACCUAGCUCCAAUAUCUGCUUUGGCAUGGUCUCUCCAUUGGAUGACCUUCCUGAUGCUAACCAUUUUACAGAGUGUACUGAGUAGUUUUUACAUGGUACCAGCACUGCACCUCCAUGCAUGUGUGUGCAUCUGAGAAAAAGCAAGCAAAUCGAAACUUUGAAGUCACUGUCAACGUUUUCCUUCUAAAUGUUUAAUAAGCAUGUAUUGAGUUAUCCUUCAGUUUAAUGUUAAUCUGUUUUUAUAUAUAUAACUUGACAUAAAAACAAAUCUUUAUAUAAAAAUAAAGAACAGACUUCUGCACAGUUUCUGCAUACUAAAUUUCAGUCAUAACAUCAUCAUCAUCGUUUAAUGUCCACUUUCCAUGCUAGCAUGGGUUGGGCGUUUUGACUGAGGUCUGGCGAACCAGAUGGCUGCACCAGGCUCCAAUCUGAUCUGGCAGAGUUUCUACAGCUGGAUGCCCAUCCUAACGCCAACCACUCCAAGAGUGUAGUGGGUGCUUUUAUGUGCCACUGGCAUGAGGGCCAGUCAGGCGGUACUGGCAACGGCCAUGCUCAAAUGGUGCUUUUUAUGUGCCACCUGCACAGUCCAGUGGCACUGACAACGACCUCGCGAAUGUGUUCAGUCAUAACACAUUAGUUAAACAAAAUCUAUGAAAGGCACGAGAUGUCACACAAGAUCAGACUUGGAACCAUAUGGUUUUGAAACAAACUUCUAAACCUCACAGCCAUACCAGAUGUUUCAGUGAGUCAAUUUAUUAAAACAUUUUUGUCACCAACCCAUUAGGAGAUUACCUUCUGUUGUUACAAAACAGUCCAUUUUGGAAUAUUCCUAUCAAAAUCGAAACCUGUCAUAAUUUUAGAUAAGAAUCAUUUCAGAUAUGUUCCAAAUACAAUUUUAAUCCUGAACUCUUUUAGCAGUCAAAUUAUUCAGUUAAAUGUAAUGCUUAUUUAUUCACAUUGUUUUGAAUUAAUCCAUGAAUUCUUUUAUAUUCUUUUACUCUUUUACUUGUUUCACUCAUGUGACUGUGGCCAUACUGGAGCACUGCCUUUAGUUGAGCAAAUCGACCCCAGGACUUAUUCUUUGUAAGACUAGUACUUAUUCUAUUGGUCUCUAUUGCCAAACCACUAAGUUAUGGGGACGUAAACACACCAGCAUCAGUUGUCAAGCAAUGUUGGGGGGGGGACAAACACAGACACACACAUACAUAUAUACAAACAGGCUUCUUUUCAGUUUCCAUCUACCAAAUCCUCUAACAAGGCUCGUCCUGAGGCUAUAGUAGAAGACACUUGUCCAAGGUGCCAUACAGUGGGAUUGAACCCAGAACCAUGUGGUUCGUAAGCAAGCUACUUACCACACAGCCACUCCUACGCCUAUACCUUUAAGAUUUCAGUUACAUGAUUGCUUAUUUUCAGAAUAACAUUGUAAGGUAGGUGUGAGGGGCUGAAUCUGGCUGGUUUGAACAUAAAAUAUGGUAGUAUAUUCAGGCUGGAUAUGGCCAGUUUAUAUUCUAAAGUGUUAAAGUACACUACUUAAUAUUGCAAUAGGUUACUUUAACAAAUAUAUAUAUAUAUAUUGUGGAAAUUAACAUUUUAAAAAUCACAUGACAAUGAGAAUCACUUACUGCCAACGUUUGUCUAUUAAUACAUUUUCAGCAAAUUGCUUACUGACAAUUCCCAGUCUAAAAAGGUUGUAAAUCCCUCCAAAUUCUCCAAUUUUUUUUCUUUCUUAUAACUGAAAACCCAUCAGUUGUGUAUUUCAACAGCAAAAUAAUCAUGAAAAGGUUAAAAGAAAGCUCAAUAUUCAAUAUACUCACAAAAUAGAUAUUUUAAACUGGUGGAAAGGCUCCAGCUUGGGAGUAGGUGUUUUAGGAUGAAUAGAAUUACUCUUUUAGUCCCCACCACCACCACCACCACUAUUCUCAGGUUCAUUCUGGCCCAAAGUGGGGGUAUUUCUUGCUGACUCUAGUUAUGGGUCAAAUAGAUGAUCCUGUGGCUGAGGGAUUCAAAACUUAGAAGAGAGAUAGCCCCUUGACUAGACUCACACAAGCCCAUUCGUAUCUGAACAUGUUCUGAUGUCAGAUAAACUAGUCCCCCUACUUAAGGGUAAGCUUGGAGGGCAAGACAUUAGCAGAGUAAACAGGAAAUAAACAAGCAGAACACAAUGGGGAAACUACUGUUGUGUCUUUCCCAAGAAAGAUCAUGAAUCUUUAGGCUUUGGUCCAUGAUCACCAACACUUGUAGGCAUGGCACCUGGAGAGAGAGGAGCAGUGAGAGAGAGAGAGAGAGAGUCUAUAAAGUGUCUAUAGUGACCCAAUAAAAUUUUACUGAUUUCUAUUUUUGGAUUGCUGCCAAGCAGGACACCCACUUCAAGUUAAUCCCAUAUCAACCAAAGCACCUCUUUCUGUCUGUUACAUAGUUUAUCGGUCUGUAUUCACCUCAAACCACAGAGUUACGGCACAUACAGCAAUAAGACAAAAAAAAACAUCAUGAUGUAUACAUAAACACAAAUCUACAUAGCAACUAAGGGUUUCAGAAACACACAUGCACCUAAGCACCUAAUGGAAUUUUCUCACAUCACUCAAGAUAUCACUGGCUUAAACCUUUAUGAGUCCACCCUCUCCUAGUCAUCCUCCCUCUCAUCUUCCCACAUCACUUUCUAAGAAUUUAGUAGCUUACUUUCUUUUCUUCAUAUAUUCAUUUUUUUCAUAUAAAAAUGUUAGCUCUGAAAUUUGUCAUCCAGCUGAGCUAAGGGAAACAACUCAGUAGCUUAGAAGUAAAUUAUCUUUCUAUGUUGCACAUAGCAGGAAACAGAACGUUCCUGAAAUGGCCUCUUGAAGAACUAAAUGGGUAUUUUGUUCCCUGAUGAUCAUCUGGUUGUUUGUCAUGAAUAUUUCCCUCAGAGAUAUGAUGUAACAAUUUCAUGUCACUCCAAGUUAGAGUAUCACCAGUCCUGCAGAUUGUAUAAAUCAUAUCCUUCACACUCUGUAUUUGAGUUCUCUCUACCCCAAGUUAUUCAGAAUACAAUGUGUGUGUGUGGGGGGGUAAGAGGUUUGCUUCCCAACCACACGGUUCCAGGUUCAGUCCUAUUGCAUGGCAUCUUUGGCGAGUGUCUUCUAUAGCUUCAGGUAUACUGAAGUCUUGUAAGUGGAGUUGGUAGGUGGAAACCGAAAGAAGCCUGUUGUGUAUGUAUGUGUGUGUGUUUGUCCCCCCACUACCACCACUUAACCAGUGUUGGUGUGUUUAUGUUCCCAUAACUUAACGGUUCAGCAAAAGAGCCAAUAAAAUAAGUACCAAGCAUAAAAAAGUACUGGGGUCGAUUCAGUCAACUAAACAUUCUUAAAGGCAGUGCCCCAGCAUGGUCACAGUUUAAUGGCUUUAAGUAAAAGAUAGAACACAAAAGAUAUAUGUAUGGCAGGAGAUGAAAUCAUGUGGCCUUGUGGUCAGGGUAUAAGGCUCAUAAACUUAACGUUGUGGGUUUCAGUUCCUGAACCAGGUAGCAUGUUGCACACCUGAGCAGAACACUUAUUUUCCUGUUGCCCCAAACUAUUCAGCUGAAAAUAAGGACCAGCUAAGCUCUGGUGCAGACCUCACUUCCUUCAGCUGUCACACCCUUGAUGCUCUGCUGAGUCAAGGCUGAGAAAGCUCUGUACAUGUCUAUUUCUACUCAUGACUACACAGGCAUCUGAAACAAUUAGUGAAACUAUGGUACAUGCUUCCAAACCAUACUCACUUGCGAAUGAUGUUUAUGAUGUUAUGAGUUUAGCCAAAUGGUCAUGACUUUUAGCAGUCCAUAUACAAGUGGGUAAAACUUGUGGCAGAGGGAGACCCAGGAAGACAUAGAAUUAAAUAUUGAAGGCAGAUCUCAAGACACUGAAGCUUACAAAGAGGAUGACAAAGGACAAAGAUAUCUGAUGCCUAGCUGUAUCCAAGAAGACCCAUCUACUACAGCAAAAUUGACACUGGUUCUAGUGCCACAUAAAAAGCACCCAGUUAGGAAGAGCUUCCAGCCAUAGAAUCCAUGCCAAAACAGACAAUGGAGCCUGGUUCAGCCCUUGGCCUUACCAGCUCCAGUUAAACUAUCCAACCCAUGCCAGCAUGAAAAACAGACAUUAAAUGAUGAUAUACAUAAUGUGUGUGUGUGUGUUUGUUUGUUCAGCAGUAUCAGUGUUUAUGCAUAAGCAAACUUUAGGCUAGCUAAAAUAUGUUUGUGACACAUUUCAACUUCUAAAGACAAAUUAACAGUUAUCUUGGAGGGGAAAAAAAAACAACUUAUUCUUUUAUUUCUGUAAGUCAUUUGACUGUGGCCAUGCUGGAGCACUGCCUUUAGUUGAACAAAUCAAUACCGGGAUUUAUUGUUUUCAAGCCUAGUACUUAUUGUAUUGGUCUCUUUUGCUGAACCGCUAAGUUUCAGGGAUGUAAACAUACCAACAUCGGGUACAAACACACACACACACACAUAUAUAUAUAUAUAUAUAUAUAUAGGGCUUCUUUCAGUUUUCCGUCUACCAAAUCCACUCACAAGGCUUUGGUUAGCCUGAGGCUAUAGUAGAAGACACUUGCCCAAGGUGCCACGCAGUGGGACUGAACCCAGAACCAUGUGGGUGAGAAGCAAUAUAUACAUUGCAUGUGUGUGUGAAUUGGUAUGCAUGCAUGUGUGCACCUAUGUGUUUGCAUGUAUGUGAAUGAGUAUGCAUGUAUGUGUGUGUGUCUGAGUGUGUGUGUGUGUGUGUGUGUGAAUGUGUACACAUGCAUGUGUGGGUGUGAAUGAGCAUACCACCCCACAACUAUUUUGUUUCUUUCUCAUUCUUUGAAACUAACAUAUGUAUGAAGACAAUGCAUCAUUAUUAUUAUUAUUAUUAUUAUUAUGUUUGCGUUUUUAAUUGGAAAACUGUAUUUAUCUAGAAGGUCACAAUGCUAGGUUGGUAUGGAAACCUACCUUGUCACAAUUAUAUAACAUCUAAAAAAUAAAAAAAAAAAUAAUCAAAUAGUCUUAAGCUUGUUGCUACAAAAGAAACCAAUAUCUUGCUGGCUAUCAAACUACAGAUUAUUAUCAGCAGCAGCACUGACUUCUGAAUUCUGUCUCUUGGAAUUAUUAAAGGCCAAUCAAUUCACAUAACCAGUGACUAGGUCAGUCAAGACAAACAUAACUUGGAUUUUCUUUUUUUUUCUUAAGGUACCAACAACAAUUGGUAACAAGACACUGUUAGUUUACUCUUUACUUGUUUCAGUCAUUUGACUGUGGCCAUGCUGGAGCACCGCCUUUAGUCGAGCAAACUGACCCCAGGACUUAUUAUGUAAGCCUAGUACUUAUUCUAUCGGUAUCUUUUGCUGAACCACUAACUUAUGGGGACGUAAACACACCAGCAUUGGUUGUCAAGCAAUGUUGGGUGUGUGUGGGAAAACAGAGACACACACACAUAUAUAUAUAUAUAUAUAUAUAUAUAUAUACACACACACACACACACACACACACACACACACACACACACACACACACACACACACACACACACACACACACACACACAUAUAUAUAUGACGGGCUUCUUUCAGUUUCCGUCUACCAAAUCCAUUCACAAGGCUUUGGUCAGCCUGAGGCUAUAGUAGAAGACACUUGCCUAAGGUGUCACACAGUGGGACUGAAGCCGGAACCAUGUAGUUGGUAAGCAAGCUACUUACCACACAGCCACUCCUACGCCUAUGUUUGAUAAUAAAAAUAAUUUUUGGGGGGUUGGUAAAUAUAUCAAAUUUUCUUCAAAGAUUUUGUUGUUUGCUACCAUUUCAACACUGUUCCAUUUUAGAACAGGGUAAAAAAGGAAAAAAAAAAAAACUUGACAUUUAUGGUGAAGUGGUAGAAUUGUUAGUUGUUUCCCAAACUGGUAUGGAGGAGGAAACUUGACAGGAACAGGCAAGCCAGAGGACUGCUUCAGGCUCAAAUGUCUGUUUUGGCCUGGUUUCUAUAGCUGGAUGGAUGCCCUUCCUGACCCUAACCCAACCAUUUUAUGGAGUGCACUGAGUACUUUUUUUAUGACACUGGCAAUAUAUGAAAAACUGAAAUUUGAACUCAAAAGAGUAAAAUGUGAAAAACUAAAAACUAAAAAAAAAAAAAGAGGAAAAAAAAAGGAAAUAAUUUGAACUGCUAUUGAUCAUAUAAUUAAUAUAAUUUGAAACCAAACUGAUAAUAUAAUUUGAAUCUAAAUUGAUAAAAUAAUUUGAUUCUAAAUGAAAAAAUUAUUUGAGUUCAAAUUAGUAAAAUUAUUUUUUCUUUAAAUUGAAUUAUAGAUUUCAAUUUGAAUUUUGAUUUCAGAUUUUUCCACCCACAUGGUUCAUGAAAUGAUCACAUCGUUGUUUUAAACUUCCUUGAUUACAGAACUAAUUUAAUCAUUUUAAUUGGCACAGAAACCUAAUAGUAGUAUUGAUUUACAAUAUUGGCACAGGAUCACACAGUUUUAGGAGAGACGGAGUGGGAAUAUAGGGUACUCAUGCCUUUACAUAGGAUUAUCAGUGAUGGGGAAAUGGCUACAACCAGGAAUUAAAAGACAUGUCGCAGACUCGGUUCACUGUCAAGUUAAUGGUAGGUUUUAAUACACAAAUACAAGAUUAUUGAAAGCAAAUCCACAUACACACACACACAAAUCUACAAUUAUAUAUAUAUAUAUAUAUAUUUCUUUACUACCCACAAGGGGCUAAAUAUAGAGGGGACAAACAAGGACAGACAAAUGGAUUAAGUCGAUUACAUCGACCCCAGUGCGAAACUGGUACUUUAUUUAUCUACCCGAAAGGAUGGAAGGCAAAGUCUACCUCGGCGGAAUUUGAACUCAGAACAUAACGUCAGACGAAAUACCGCUAAGCAUUUCGCCCGGGGCGCUAACGUUUCUGCCAGCUCGCCGCCUUAAUAUAUAUAUAUAUAUAUAUAUAUAUACACAUGCAUGUAUACAGAUACAAAGAAAGCCAAAUGGUUAUAUGGAAAUGUACAAACAUAUGUACAUGUUCAUAUUUAAGAUGAUCUAAUUUUCUGUGAGCAAUGUCAGAUAAUGACACAAGAUAUUAAAACAUGGGUGAAUAAUAUAUCUAUCUGAUGUAGUCUUCAGUGUAAUGCAGCUUACAACAAAACUGAUCUGAUCAUAAGCUAAGCUAAUUAUAUUAUCGUUAAUUAAAUAAAAAAGCGAGACAAGUAACAGAUUUUGUUUUUUCCAUUUCUUUUUUAGAAGAUUACCAAUUUACUGAAUUAUAUACACAGCUUUCCAUUAUGGAAUCCUGACAGAGCUUGUUCUUAUCAAGAAAGCUAUCUACUGACAGAGAAUGUUCUUAUCAGAAACACCAUCUUUUCUGUGGUGCAAAAGUCAGGUGUAUGUAUGUGGCAGAAGAGUAGGUUUGAGUGCUUCAAUGAUAGCGACUUGCUAGAAAUGACAGCAAAAUCACCCUCAUAUCUCGAUCUUUCAUCUUGAAGAUAGUGAAGAUGUAGAUAAAUUGAGAUGGGAGGGGCAUGGCUGGAAUUCUUUUGAUUCUAGAUCUGCUUGACUGAGGUUGACCUAGGACUGAGCAACAACAUACAUAGUCAUAAGCAAGUGAUGGUUGCUUCACAUCUAAAAAUAAUAGCUAAAUUUCCCUUGUGUCAGUCCCUAAUGUCUAUUAAAAAAACAAAAGGAAGAACACAUUGAAUAUUGUAGUCUUAGAUAGACUAUAACUAAAAGAAAUGGGGAAGAGUUAUGGCUUGAAUGCCUUUGAUACACAAGUAUUUUCAAUACAAACUUCUUCCUUCAAAUAAAAUGAAGAAGAGAAACACAGACCAGGUCCAUAAUUACAUGACAAGAUUUCAAUACUUAGUAAUAUAAUACUAUUACAAGAUAUGAAACGCGAAUACAACAGUGUACAUAGGCUUGUAAUAACUGUAAUGGCUAUAAUUGUCUCAGUCUCAAUACAAGAAGUAAGAUGACAUCGUUUUCCAAACAAAUGCAAAUCAAUUUAUCUAUCUAUCCGACAGAGAAAGAGAGAGAGACAGAGGGAGAGAGACAAAUAGACAAACAGAGAGAGAGAGAGUGAGACAAAGAGAGAGAGACAGACAGACAGACAGAUAGACAGAGACACAGACAGAUACACAGACACACAUACACACAGAGUCAAGCAUAUACUGCUCAAUAUAUGAAGUGGCUGGUGUCUGAAGGAAGACAACUUAGGAUGAAGAGAAUGUGACAACUUCUUCAAUGUUGGUGCCACAACUCAAUAAGCCCACCACACUCUGAGUGAAGUGGUUGAUGUUAACAAAUUAUAAAGGAAUUUAUACAAGCAUAUACACAAAUGUAUAUAAAUUUAAUGGGGAAAAAUAAUGUGCAGUGUGUCUAUGUAUCUGUGUGUGUAUGUGUAUGUUUAAGUGCAAGCAUAUAUGUGUUGUGUUUGUGUGCAUAUCUUUUACUGGUUACAAUCAUUGGACUGCAGCCAUUCUGGAAUACCACCUUCAAAGUGAUAGUUGAUCAUACUGCCACUAAGUUACAGGUUAUAAAGGGACAAAAGACAAACAAUGACAUCUCUUUUUCUCAGACUGAUGUAAACAUAGAAACAGACACAGGUACACACACACACACACACACACACACACACACACACACACACACACACACUUCUUAAAUGUUUUCCACUGACCAAAUUCCACUCACAAGGCAAUUGAUCAACCCAAUGCCAUGCACUAGAGACAAACCCAGAUCUACAGAGUUGCAAAAUAAACUCCUUAACCACCACAGUGCCAGGCUUGCACUUUCCUCUUUCUACACACACACACACACACAAAUGGUUUGAUUCAUAUCUCCAGAUCCUGUCAGUAUCAAAAAAGAAAACAAAAACAAAAGGCAUUAAUGCAAGGAGAAAGUGUCUAAGUCUCAGAAAAUCUUUAGUUUGUGUUCAUUGGUGAAUUGUCAGGAUCCACUUGCAUUGACAGUCAAUCAGAGACACAAGCAUAAUACUGUGGUAUCAAUGUAACGCUUAUACUUAUUCAAAAACACACACAUGCAUGAUAAGUUCCAAUACAGACUCGAGGCAGACAGGUUCCACGAAAAAGUUUUCUAACAAAAAUUAUCAACUGAAAGGAUCUAAAUAUUAUUCCAUAAUAGCAUUCAUAACCCACUGGGUGAGAAGAUUACUUCAUAAUCACAAAUCACAUCCCUGUAUCUUUAUUGCUGUAGCUGAUAGCUAAAAUCUGGUGCAAACUGAAGAUAAGGCAAAUGUACUUAUAUGUAUACAUCAUAUAUAUAUAUAUAAUAUACAUAUAAAUGCAUACACACAUUAAUAUACAUAUACAUAUAUAUAUAUAUAUAUAUAUAUAUAUAUACAUAUACAUACAUAUAUAUAAAUAUACAUACGUAUAUAUAAAUACAAAUACAUAUAUACAUACAUGUAGAUACACAAACAUGGAUGGAUGGAUGGGUGGGUAGAUAGAUAGAUAGAUAGAUAAUUUGCUCACACAUUCACUUACUUACAUACAUAGCAAACUUCAUAGAUAUUAAUAUUAUGCUUCUCAUGUCUGAAGGCAGGUUUCCCAAUAUUCAAAUUUGGAUAAUUCCUCUCUUUCUUUAUGCUUAUAACAAAAGACUGCAACCAUCUAAUGCUCUCUCAUACACUGUUGUUAAUGUCUUGCUGUUUAUGAGUAAAUGGAAGAUACUGUGUUAGACUAACCAACAAAAUUAUUCAAAAUUCAUCUAAAAUCGAUUAAUUCUAGUGGUGUGUGUCAUACAACGAGAUGUAUGCCCCUAGCAAAUCUACUCCAGGACAAGCUCUGAUUACCAAUUAUAGCAAUUUCAUUUCACUUACACUACUAAAGUCCUAGAGAAAGGCAUGACUGUCAAACAAUCAGAUUUUCCUUCUCGGAUCUAUAAGAAAAGAAAUCACUAGAAAUGAUUAAUGCAAGAGUACAUACACUGUAUAUAUAUAUAUAUAUAUAUAUAUAUGUAUGUAUAUAUUACUUGCUUCAGUCAUUGGACUGCAGCCAUACUGUGACACUGCAUUGAAAGGUUUAAUCCAGAGUUUUUCAACCAUUUAUCAACCUAUGAACCCAUUUGAUUCUUAUUUUCCUCCAGUAGACCUGCAGAGCAAUUUGAUGCUUAAAAAAUCCUAUUUAUUUUUAUAAUUAAAUGUUAUUAGGAACUGUAUUAAAAAAUUGUUCAAAUAAUUUGUGUAUUGUACAACCAUAACGGUGGAGACACAUGGCCUAGUGGUGAGAGCAGCGGACUCGCAGUUGAGGGAUCGUGGGUUCGAAUCUAAGACCGGGCGAUGUGUGUGUUGAUGAGCGAAAAACACCUAAGCUCCACGCGACUCCGGCAGAAGGUAAUGGUGAACUUCUGACUCUUUCGCCACAACUUUCUCUCACUCUUUCCUCCAGCAUCUUGCAGCUCACCUGCAAUGGACUGGUGUUCCAUCCAGGUGGGGAACCUAUACGCCAAGGAAACUGGGAAACCGGCCCUUAUGAGGCUUGAUAAGGAACAACAACAACUAAUUUAUUGCAUAUAAAUUUUAUCAACAAAAUCUUAUAUGGACUCUCAAGGACCAUAUAGACCCUGGUUAAGGAUCACAGGUCUUGUCGAACAAAUCAACCUUAGUGCUUAUUAUGUAAGUGUUGAUUCUAGUGGUCUCUUUUGUUAAACCACUAAGUUGUAGGUAUGUAAACAAACCAACACCAGUUGUCAACCAGUGCUGGUGCAAACACAUACAAACACACACACUCAAUGGACUGCCACAGUUUCCAUUUAUUAAAUUUACUCACAAAGUAUAGGUCAACCCAGGGCUAUAGUAGAAGACAUUUGCCCUGGCAUUGAACCCAAAAACCAGGUGUGUGUGUGUGUGAAUGUGUGCGUGUACAUAUAUACAUGGAUACAAAUAGUUAAAUCAAAAGUUUGAAUAACCAAUUCUAAAAAGUUUUGCAGACUUCUCAAUGUAAAGUGAUACAAGUCAUACAAAAAAGGAAAAAGAGAAACAGGUCAAACUGUCAGAUCAAUGGAACAAAUCUAUCAAUUGCCAGGCAACAGUGUUAUCAAUUAACUUGUUCAUAAUCUUCCAAACUAUUUUCAGUCGUUGUAAGAUAUAAUGGUUAACUGGUUACAUAAUGAACUACUACUCUAAACAUCACCAACAGAAACCCUAAUAUUGGCAUUACAUUGGUCAUUGUGGGCAAAGUGGCAUAAUUACUUUGAUGGGUGGACACUGCUCAUAAUCCUUUUCUGAACCUCCAAGAUUGGUGGGAAGGAAUGAGUCAGGUACCCUCAAAUCAGGAAUUUGAUCCAAAUGCAUCAGAGUGACCUCUGUUAAAAACACCUUAGGACCAUAUGGUGUUGUUCUACUAGGUCACAGAUUAAGUUUACCACUCAAGCAGGCCAUAGUAGAAUUUGAACUCAGAACUUAAAGAACCAAAUGAAAUACCAUCAGGCAUAACAUUCAGUGCUCUGAAAAUUCUGCCAGUCUGUUGUCCAAGACUCCUUCUUAUUUACUGACCCCAGAAAGAUCAAAGGCAAAAUUGACUCUGCAAGAAUUUGACCUCAGGACACAUAGGGAUGCAACAAAUUACUGCAAGACAUUUCAUUCGGCACUCUAACAACUCUUGCUGCGAUGGUGGCAUGAACAUCACAACAUCAUUCACAGUAACCACUUCACAAUUCAUGCUUUCUAUCAUAUGAUUAACAACUAUAAAGUAUGCAUAUAGCCAGAACACAAUUAUUCUUCAAGUCUAAUUAAGAGUUUUUAGCCCCAAAAACUGUUAUUUCAGUAGUUUAUGCAAAUAUUGAAAAUUUGAACAAUCUUUUAACCCAAAAUAGCAUGUGAAAAAAAAAACCCUACAAAACAUAAUAAACUGAGGGAAAAUAGUUGAAAAAUAUUAAAAAAUUCCUUUUAUAAUCUUUUCUCUCUCUCUCUCUCAUACACACACACAAAUAAAAAUGUCUGCAUGUCAUCAAUUUAGAAAGAAUUUUAAUAGAAUCUGGUUUCAACUAGCAUUUCAUUUCAUUUGAACUUGUAUGAAAACAUUUAGUAAUGUCACUGUUUAUUUUGUAUGAAAUGUAAUGGUUCUGGCACAGAUAACAGAUCCAGACUAGAUACUUUAUGAUAUGUAACCCCUCCACCACCACCACCACCACCACACAUUUUACUUCUUUUUCUCUUCAAUAUUUUUAUCUAUUUAUUUAACAUUCUUGUUAUGAGUGAAAAGGCUUUGUAAAUUUAAACAUUUUAAAAAUAUUUAUUCUGUUUCAAAUUUCAUGAGGGCCAACAUUUUCUUUCAUCUCUACAGCACCUGUUAAAAUAAGCAUCAUUAAGAUAACCUGAGAGAUUUAUUUAUUUACAUUCUGAGUUCAAAUUUGUCUUUCAUCUUUUAGGGUUAAUUAAAUAAAUAGCAGUCAAGUUCUGGGGUCAAUACAAUUGACUGGCCCCCAUCCCACGAAUUUCAGGCCUUGUGCCUAUAACAGAAAGAAUUAUUAUUAUUAUUAUUAUUAUUAUUGUUGGCUGAAUAGGUAGCAUGCUGGGCAAAAUGCUGAGCAGUAUUUCUUCUGUUGCUACAUUCUGAGUUCAAAUAUUGCUAAGGCCGACUUUGCUUUUCAUCCUUUCAAGUUCAAUAGAUUAAGUACCAGUCAAGUACUGGGGUUGAUGUAAUUGACUUUCCCCCUCCCCCAAAAUUUCAGGCUUUGUGCCGUCAACAGAAAGGAUUAUUAUUAUUAUUAUUAUUACUGUUAAGGUGGCAUGCUGGCAGAAUUGUUAGCACACCAGCCAAAAUGCUUAGCAGUAUUUCGUCCGUCUUUGCAUUUCUGAGUUCAAAUUCUGCCAAGGUCAACUUUGCCUGUCAUCAUUUUGGGACCAAUUAAAUAAGUACCAGUGGAGCACUGGGGUCGAUGUAAUCAACUUAAACCCUCCCCAUAAAUUUCAGGCUUUGUUCCUAUAGUAGAAAGGAUUAUUAUUAUUAUUAUCAUUAUUAUUAUUAUUAAGGUAAUUCUCCCAAGGUUGACUUUGCCUUUCAUCCAACUCCUAAACGAAGAAACUUAUGAUGCUGUUAAUGCUCCUUUUGAACCAUUACAAAUCCACAUUUGUAGGAAAGACAUGAACAGAAAUAGAGUUCCAGGGAAACGAUUUUCAUAGAUGGAAGGAUUGGGCAGAAUGUGAUUGGAUACAAGAUAGGCAAUGAGAAGAGGAGGGCUGAGUGAGUCUGGAAUACCUAAGCGGGGGUGACAUGAGACCAGUUAAUUCUGAAGAGUAGAGAUGAUUAUAGUUGCAGUAGAAAAGGCGACAGGUGACACAUCUAUAAACUAAAAGCUGGACUGUAUCUUUAUUGCAAUCAGUUGGGUGGUUCUUUUGUGACUGUAGUCUUUGGGUGUCAGUGUUCACAAGAGCAGUACCAUUCCAGAUGUGAUAGCAAUACUUCGUCGUGAGUCUUAUCUGAUCUUUGGAAAGGUUCGGUAACCAUUGAGAGCUAAAGUAUCUUCUGAAGAGAAGAGUCCCUUAUUGGGACGCUUGUCUAGGAUUGGUGUCACUAAAAAGGAGAUCCUCGGUGAUAGCCAGGCCCAGUAUUUAGAGUAAUCAUUCAAAAGGAGAAAAGCUGUCCUAGGGGCAGUUGGAGUGGUAGAAAGAAAACGUAGAAGUUGAUCCAAUAGAAUACAUCUUUAUGUUUAUAUUUUUAACGAAGAAGGGUGGGGCUUGAGCCUAGGCUAAAGAAUCGGUGAAUUACUUUGCGUAACCAUUUAUAUUUAACUUGCGUGCUGCUAUUUAAAGAACAAAUAUCAAAUUAGUUAACAGAUAUGAAUGUCAACAAAUUAACUAAUUUUGGUUAUCUUUUUCAGAAAUUUCACUAUUUACAUAUGAAAGACAGCCAAACAAAGUUUUAAUUCCUCACUGACGAAACAUCCCCCACCACACACACAUCAAGUUCAAGUAAUUAAAAAUUUUAGUCAUGGUUCCCAGGGCUUCCAUCAUAAGUGGGACUAUUAGAAGUCGCAAUUCAUGGCUCAAGUUGAAAACCACAUCAGGGCUCCAUACAUUUGAGUGUGGUGACAGGGGAAACUAUCUAAACAAAUGCAGGUAUGGUUAUGUGGUUAAGAUAUUUAUUUUUUAACCACAUGGUUCUGGGUUUGUUUGAUCUCACUACAGGCACAUUGGGUUCUGGUACAGACUUGAGUUGACAAAUGCUUUGAGUACAAAUUUGGCAAGCAGAAACUCUGUGGAAGCCUGCUGAGUGUUUGAUUUAUAUGUCUGUGUCUACCCUUCAUUAAUGUAUAUAGGCGUAGGAGUGGCUGUGUGGUAAGUAGCUUGCUUACCAACCACAUGGUUCUGGGUUCAGUCCCACUGCGUGGCACUUUGGGCAAGAGUCUUCUACUAUAGCCUCGGGCUGACCAAAGCCUUGUGAGUGGAUUUGGUAGACGAAAACUGAAAGAAGCCCGUCGUAUAUAUGUAUGUGUGUGUAUAUGUUUGUCCCCCCAACAUCGCUUGACAACCAAUGCUGGUGUGUUUACGUCCCCGUAACUUAGCGGUUUGGCAAAAGAGACCGAUAGAAUAAGUACUAGGCUUACAAAGAAUAAGUCCUUGGGUCAAUCUGCUUGACUAAAGGUGGUGCUCCAGCAUGGCCACAAUCAAAUGACUGAAACAAGUAAAAGAGUAUCAGAAAGUCUCAGUUUGCUAAUAGCAUCUCAGAAUCUCUGUACAUUGCUGACAGUAUCACUGUGCAAGCUAUGUGAGUGUUCAAGGAGGGAUUCAGAGUGCAGGUAAGUGUCCAUCAGGGAUCAGUUUUCACCCCAUUUGUUUAUGAUUUUCCAUGCUACAACAGAGGAGUUUAAAACUAAUUGCAAAAUGUAAACUGAAGGCCUGAAAAUAAAGUUUUAGCAGGAAAAAAUCCAGAUCUCUGUUGCCAUCAGGACGUGACUAUACUCAAAGUACAGAAAAAGGAAAGAAUAGGAAUUCAUACAGUGCAAAACUAUGGGUGCACAACAGUGGGAUCACUAGCAAGCUGACAGAGAAGGAAGACUUUAUAUGUGGAAGGAUAAUAGUUCACAGCAACAGCAACUGUGAAAUAAAUUCUUUCAAAUGUUUCUCUAUAGAGGUAGUCACCAGCUUCUUUUACCAAGGUAACCUAAUAAGCAGAUGGGUAAGUGCACUGAGGGGAUUAUAGCCAGAGUAAGAACAGUGGAGAAAAAGUUCAGAGAGCUGUGUUCCCUUUACUGACAACAAGGGAAUUCUCUCUAUCAGUGAACAGCAGCUUGCAUGAUGGUUAUAUGAAGCAUUAUGUUGCAUGGUAGUGAAACAUGUACAUUGAAUACACAGAGUGUGAAGGCUGCAAACAAAAACCAAAGUAACACAUGUGUAAUGUUAAUGUAUAUAAAUGAUAGAGCACAAAGGAGUUGAGAGAAAAAACUAGCUACAAGAGGAUUCAGGUGAUAGAUGUAUAAUGGUAUUGCAGAUGAUAAUUUAGCAAAAGAGCAUCAGAAGAUCCAGGUAGAAUGUAGAGAAAAAUCUCAAAAUGCUGGUUAGGCAAUGACUAAUGACCACAAGAGGCAAAGCAUUGUGUUGGUGAAAAACCUAUACAACCCAUGCAAACAGGAAAAAUUGAAUGAUGAUGAUGUAACUAUCAGUAACAAUACAUAAAUAAAUAAAAUCCAGUAAGUUCAAAACAAAAAUACUUUUGCAAUAUUUAUUCCAUCUGAGUUUCACAGACACUCCUUCAUCACUCUUAUAUCUUGACUGCCCACAAGGGGCUACACACAGGGGACAAACAAGGACAGACAAACGGAUUAAGUCGAUUAUAUCGACCCCAAUGCAUAACCGGUACUUAUUUAAUCGACCCCAAAAGGAUGAAAGGCAAAGUCGGCCUCGGUGGAAUUUGAACUCAGAACGUAGUGGCAGAUGAAAUACUGCUAAGCAUUUCGCUUGGCAUGCUAACAUUUCUGCCAGCUCGCCGCCCUUACUCCUUCAUCACUCUUGUUAUCAUAAAUGCAGUAAAUCACCAACUGGAAUGCUAGAAUUCUGUCACUAAUCAUGUUCUCUAAAUGUGUGAUAUUAGAAGGUAAAAAUGGAGUUGAUUCUAAAAUUUACAGUGAUUAACAAAUCCUUUGAACCCGACUCACAUUUGAAGCAACCCAACUGUAACUUUGUAACAGUAUUUAAGUAAACUUAUUUAACUAAGCUUAGCACCUCAAUCAACACCGCAAGCUUGCCACAAACACACACAAAACUACAAUUCCCACACAAAUACACUCCAAUAAAACCCACUCCUUUACACACUGCUAACUCCAUAAUUUAUAACUGAGGUGUCAAAAUAAAUUUUCUGUGGCAUUUUUGACAUGACAAGUUUGAGUAAAUUAUUUACUUUUGUCUUAAAUAUCUGGCUGAAACCAAGUCUACACAAGAAUUUCUUUUUACUGCUGUCCUUUCUUCUAAACUAGAACCAAUUAGGUCAAGUAUAGAAACUUUUUUGGUCAAUGAUUUAAGGUUGCAAGUUACAGACAAUCUAAAUUUGGUUGUUCUUAACUCCAGGCCAAGUUUGAUGCAGCAGACUUGUGAUCAGUGACAUUCUAACUAAAACCACCCUGUCUAUUCUUUUAAAGCAUAGUGCAUUUAGGACUACACUUAAACAUCUCUUUUUCUUUUUAAAGAUGGUAGGAUUGGAUUUGAGGGAGAUUUAGUGUAUCAAGUAAAGGGUUAGGGUUACAUAUAUAUAUUUUAGGGUAUCUAAGAUAUACCACCAUGCUUGAAAUAGCAGCCAAAACUUGACUCUAAAACCACAUUAAAAGUUCAUACAGCACCUGGUUUUAGAGUCAAGUUUUGGCUGCUAUUUCAAGCACGGUGGUAUCUCUUAGAUACCCUAUUUUUUAUUAUUUUUAAAGGCACAAUAAAUCUAAAAUUGUAUAAAUCUAGUUCUCCUUCUAUAUGAUGAUAGAAUUUAAUUUGACAGAGAUUCCUACAAGACCAAGCAACCACAGAGAAUCUCUCAUUAGUUAUGCUACUGUUUAGCCAUAAGUCAGUCCUGACCCAGCAGAUCGAUGAUGAAAUACUUUCAGAUUGAGAGUAAUUUCUCUUUCUUUUAGACAGCAUCUUCACAACUACAUCAUCCAAAGUGGCUUUCCAUUUUUCUUAAGAUUGUAAAGAAUAAUUUAAGAGAUUUGGCUGCAGUUUUUAGCAAGUAAAGAGUAAAGUGACCAUGUAAAUUCACCCCAUCUUCACCCUAGGACUUAAGCUAAAUUAGUUUAACUAAUAACCAUCAACUGUCUCUGACAUUAUCAACAUCUUUCACUGAUGAUUACCGAAUGGGAAUAUAGACUAUGAUAUCUAUAACUUUCGCGAGACUAUUUUGUAAUGUAAGAAAAAUAAAAAAAAAAGGCAACAAUCAAGAAUUGAAACCUAAUCACAGGCUUAGUUAAUGAAGAGCUUAACUUUUCUUGCCAAUCAGCAGUCACCAUUUAAUGACUAUUAUCUAAUUAUAAUUUUCUUAUCUCUUCAGGUGUAAAAAAAAAAAAAAAAAAAAAAAAACGUCACUUGCUUUCACUAACUGUUUUAGGUGCCUGUGGAGUCACAAGUAGACAGAUACCUUUUUUAACCCUCCCACCUUUGAUCUAGUAGAACAUCCAGGAUGUGACAGUGGAAGGGAGAGAUAGAGAUGUGUCGGCACUUGGCUGCUACUCAUUUUCAGCCGAGUGAAUUGGAGCAAUGAGAAAUGAAGUGUCUUGCUCAAGGACACAACACAUCACCUGCUCCAAGAACUGAACUAGUAACUUUAUAAUUCUAAGCCUGAUACCCUAAAUCACUAGGCUGUACACCAUUUUAGUAAAGCAGGUGAAAUGAGAGACCAUAGUAAAGAACCUGUUGAAAAAUACAACCCACACACACACACACACAAAACCACACAAAUAUACAAAAAAAAACACACAAAUACAUAAGAGUUAAUUUUGCUAAGAGGCUCAAAUAAUCACCAAAUCUAAUUAAACAAAUCAAAUACGAUGGUUAAUUAAGCCAAUGCUUUACAUGUUAAGCACACACACACUGUGCAUGAUACAUUAAAUUAAGAUUAUCAAAGAUAGAUGAUAAUCAUCAAAAACUACACAGUUUAGUAAAUGCUUAGUGUAAAAGCUGAAUUCACCAAUUUAAUCUUUUUCUUUUUUUUUUUUAAUUCCAUUAAUGUUUCCUUGGUUAAAAUUAUUUGUUGCUUAUAAUCCUUUCAAACAGCAAGGGGAGAGAGAGAGAGAGAGAGAGAUGUGUGUGUAUGUGUGUGAGUGCAUGGUGUGUGUGUGUGUGCAUGGUGUGUGUGUGUGCAUGGUGUGUGUGUGUGCAUGGUGUGUGUGUGUGUGUGUGUGUUUGAGUGUGUGCAUGAGUGUGUGCAUGAGUGUGUGUGAGUGUGUGCAUGAGUGUGUGUGUGUGUGUGUGUGCAUGAGUGUGUGUGUGUGUGUGUGUGUGCAUGAGUGUGUGUGUGUGUGUGUGCAUGAGUGUGUGUGCGUGCAUGAGUGUGUGUAUGAGUGUGUGUGUGUGUGCGUGCAUGAGUGUGUGUGUGCGUGCUUGAGUGUGAGUGAGUAUGUGUGUGUGUGCAUGUGUGAGGGAAACAGUAAGAAAGAAAUUGAUGUGUAGGUAUACAGGAUGUGAACACAUCUUUCAAAAGUCUAUAAAUGGAAGACAAUGUAAUGUUACAGAGCACACUCCAAGUUUUAACUUUAUUCUCUUCCAGAUGUAUCAACAGAAUCAACACAGCAAACUCCAGUCUAACAAAGGAAAUAAAAAAAAGGCGUGUCAUGCUUGUAACUCUGGCUGCCAACAAUAGCAAACUUGUAAAAUUAUCAGCUUCUUCAAGACAGCUGGGUCCUUUGUGUUCAAGGUCAGGAAACAGCUGGAAGCCUCUGAGGAAGAUGUGUCAUCAGUAACAAGAAAGAAAGAAUCAAACAUUUCCAGUCAGACAUCACUAGGAGGGACGAGCUUGUUCAGGAGAUCUGGGGCAUCAACAACAAUUCCAGCAGAUCAAUGAGGGACAUUGCUGAGCAGCUCAAGUUUGCAGACUCCACUGUCAGACAUCUAGUACACAAGGACAUGAAAUUACAAGCCUUACAUGAUGAGAAGAUGGCAGUUCAUAUCUAACAAGACCUGGGAUAACUAUGUCAUCAUGAGACACCCAGUUCAGUAUCACAGGGCUCUUUUACUCUUACUUGUUUCAGUCAUUUGACUGUGGCCAUGCUGGAGCACCGCCUUU
Molecule: long non-coding RNA, 37830 nt
Filed under: Octopus vulgaris (common octopus)
Lineage: Eukaryota; Metazoa; Mollusca; Cephalopoda; Octopoda; Octopodidae
Source: RNAcentral